Molecule: long non-coding RNA, 2130 nt
Filed under: Oncorhynchus mykiss (rainbow trout)
Lineage: Eukaryota; Metazoa; Chordata; Actinopteri; Salmoniformes; Salmonidae
Description: lncRNA (ENSOMYG00000064977.1)
Source: RNAcentral
AUGAGUGUAUUGUACCUGGGUCUCAUCUGUAGAAUGAGAGUACUGUACCUGGGUCUCAUCUGUAGAAUGAGAGUACUGUACCUGGGUCUCACCUGUAGAAUGAGAGUACUGUACCUGGGUCUCACCUGUAGAAUGAGAGUACUGUACCUGGGUCUCACCUGUAGAAUGAGAGUACUGUACCUGGGUCUCAUCUGUAGAAUGAGAGUACUGUACCUGGGUCUCACCUGUAGAAUGAGAGUACUGUACCUGGGUCUCAUCUGUAGAAUGAGAGUACUGUACCUGGGUCUCAUCUGUAGAAUGAGAGUAUUGUACCUGGGUCUCAUCUGUAGAAUGAGAGUACUGUACCUGGGUCUCACCUGUAGAAUGAGAGUACUGUACCUGGGUCUCACCUGUAGAAUGAGAGUACUGUACCUGGGUCUCACCUGUAGAAUGGGAGUACUGUACCUGGGUCUCACCUGUAGAAUGAGAGUACUGUACCUGGGUCUCACCUGUAGAAUGAGAGUACUGUACCUGGGUCUCACCUGUAGAAUGGGAGUACUGUACCUGGGUCUCAUCUGUAGAAUGAGAGUACUGUACCUGGGUCUCACCUGUAGAAUGAGAGUACUGUACCUGGGUCUCAUCUGUAGAAUGAGAGUACUGUACCUGGGUCUCACCUGUAGAAUGAGAGUACUGUACCUGGGUCUCAUCUGUAGAAUGAGAGUACUGUACCUGGGUCUCAUCUGUAGAAUGAGAGUACUGUACCUGGGUCUCACCUGUAGAAUGAGAGUACUGUACCUGGGUCUCACCUGUAGAAUGAGAGUACUGUACCUGGGUCUCACCUGUAGAAUGAGAGUACUGUACCUGGGUCUCAUCUGUAGAAUGAGAGUACUGUACCUGGGUCUCACCUGUAGAAUGAGAGUACUGUACCUGGGUCUCACCUGUAGAAUGAGAGUACUGUACCUGGGUCUCAUCUGUAGAAUGAGAGUACUGUACCUGGGUCUCAUCUGUAGAAUGAGAGUACUGUACCUGGGUCUCAUCUGUAGAAUGGGAGUACUGUACCUGGGUCUCACCUGUAGAAUGAGAGUACUGUACCUGGGUCUCACCUGUAGAAUGAGAGUACUGUACCUGGGUCUCACCUGUAGAAUGAGAGUACUGUACCUGGGUCUCACCUGUAGAAUGGGAGUACUGUACCUGGGUCUCAUCUGUAGAAUGGGAGUACUGUACCUGGGUCUCAUCUGUAGAAUGAGAGUACUGUACCUGGGUCUCACCUGUAGAAUGAGAGUACUGUACCUGGGUCUCACCUGUAGAAUGAGAGUACUGUACCUGGGUCUCACCUGUAGAAUGAGAGUACUGUACCUGGGUCUCACCUGUAGAAUGAGAGUAUUGUACCUGGGUCUCACCUGUAGAAUGAGAGUACUGUACCUGGGUCUCAUCUGUAGAAUGAGAGUACUGUACCUGGGUCUCACCUGUAGAAUGAGAGUACUGUACCUGGGUCUCAUCUGUAGAAUGGGAGUACUGUACCUGGGUCUCAUCUGUAGAAUGGGAGUACUGUACCUGGGUCUCACCUGUAGAAUGAGAGUACUGUACCUGGGUCUCACCUGUAGAAUGAGAGUACUGUACCUGGGUCUCAUCUGUAGAAUGAGAGUACUGUACCUGGGUCUCAUCUGUAGAAUGAGAGUACUGUACCUGGGUCUCACCUGUAGAAUGAGAGUACUGUACCUGGGUCUCACCUGUAGAAUGAGAGUACUGUACCUGGGUCUCAUCUGUAGAAUGGGAGUACUGUACCUGGGUCUCACCUGUAGAAUGAGAGUACUGUACCUGGGUCUCAUCUGUAGAAUGAGAGUACUGUACCUGGGUCUCACCUGUAGAAUGAGAGUACUGUACCUGGGUCUCACCUGUAGAAUGAGAGUACUGUACCUGGGUCUCAUCUGUAGAAUGAGAGUACUGUACCUGGGUCUCACCUCUAGAAUGAGUGUAUUGUACCUGGGUCUCACCUGUAGAAUGAGAGUACUGUACCUGGGUCUCACCUGUAGAAUGAGAGUACUGUACCUGGGUCUCACCUGUAGAAUGAGAGUACUGUACCUGGGUCUCAUCUGUAGAAUGAGAGUACUGUACCUGGGUGAUGGGUCUGACUUGAUGGGUCUGACUUGA